UUCGGUCCUGAGUAAAGCGGCGGACGGGUGAGUAACACGUAGGUAAUCUUCCCUUGAGCGGGGGACAACAGGCCGAAAGGCCUGCUAAUACCGCAUACGUUUCUUGGGACUCUGGUCCUGGGAAGGAAAGCUAGGCCGCAAGGUCCGGCACUCGAGGAGGAGCCUGCGUCGCAUCAGCUAGUUGGUGGGGUAACGGCCUACCAAGGCGAAGACGCGUAGCUGGUCUGAGAGGAUGAUCAGCCACACUGGGACUGAGACACGGCCCAGACUCCUACGGGAGGCAGCAGUGGGGAAUAUUGGACAAUGGGCGCAAGCCUGAUCCAGCCACGCCGCGUGAGUGAUGAAGGCCUUCGGG
This 355-nucleotide ribosomal RNA is filed under the name uncultured bacterium. Its description in RNAcentral is "bacterial SSU rRNA". It matches the Rfam family "Bacterial small subunit ribosomal RNA", at positions 79 to 422 of the family's 1533-position model. The record is from RNAcentral.